Molecule: ribosomal RNA, 551 nt
Filed under: uncultured Diversispora
Lineage: Eukaryota; Fungi; Glomeromycota; Glomeromycetes; Diversisporales; Diversisporaceae
Description: SSU rRNA
Rfam family: Eukaryotic small subunit ribosomal RNA
Source: RNAcentral
UUGGAGGGCAAGUCUGGUGCCAGCAGCCGCGGUAAUUCCAGCUCCAAUAGCGUAUAUUAAAGUUGUUGCAGUUAAAAAGCUCGUAGUUGAACUUCGGGGUCUACCCAUUGGUCAGGCUUAAUUGUCUGCACUGGUGAGAUGGAUCUCUACCUUCUGAGGAACUUUCAUGCCAUUUAUUUGGUGUGAUGGGAAAUCAGGACUGUUACUUUGAAAAAAUUAGAGUGUUUAAAGCAGACUAUCGUCUGAAUACAUUAGCAUGGAAUAAUGAAAUAGGACGGACUGAUUCUAUUUCGUUGGUUUCUAGGAUCACCGUAAUGAUUAAUAGGGAUAGUUGGGGGCAUUAGUAUUCAAUUGUCAGAGGUGAAAUUCUUGGAUUUAUUGAAGACUAACUACUGCGAAAGCAUUUGCCAAGGAUGUUUUCAUUAAUCAGGAACGAAAGUUAGGGGAUCGAAGACGAUCAGAUACCGUCGUAGUCUUAACCAUAAACUAUGCCGACUAGGGAUCGGACGAAGUUAAUUUUAUAAUGACGCGUUCGGCGCCUUACGGGAAAC